UGGCGGACGGGUGAGUAAUGUCUGGGAACCGCCCGAUGGAGGGGGAUAACUACUGGAAACGGUAGCUAAUACCGCAUAACGUCGCAAGACCAAAGAGGGGGACCUUCGGGCCUCUUGCCAUCGGAUGUGCCCAGAUGGGAUUAGCUAGUAGGUGGGGUAACGGCUCACCUAGGCGACGAUCCCUAGCUGGUCUGAGAGGAUGACCAGCCACACUGGAACUGAGACACGGUCCAG
This 234-nucleotide ribosomal RNA is filed under the name uncultured bacterium. Its description in RNAcentral is "partial 16S ribosomal RNA". It matches the Rfam family "Bacterial small subunit ribosomal RNA", at positions 96 to 334 of the family's 1533-position model. The record is from RNAcentral.